RNAcentral lists this ribosomal RNA (1485 nucleotides) under uncultured bacterium. RNAcentral describes it as "16S ribosomal RNA". It matches the Rfam family "Bacterial small subunit ribosomal RNA". The record is from RNAcentral.
UGGCUCAGGAUGAACGCUAGCGACAGGCUUAACACAUGCAAGUCGAGGGGCAGCGGUGGUGAAGGCUUGCCUUUACCAGCCGGCGACCGGCGCACGGGUGAGUAACACGUAUGCAACCUGCCUGCCACAGCCGGAUAAUCGGGAGAAAUUCCGUCUAAUACGGCAUAAUGCAUCGACGGGACAUCCUGUUGGUGCCAAAGGUUGAUUCCGGUGGCGGAUGGGCAUGCGUCGCAUUAGUUAGUUGGCGGUGUAACGGACCACCAAGACGACGAUGCGUAGGGGUUCUGAGAGGAAGGUCCCCCACACUGGUACUGAGACACGGACCAGACUCCUACGGGAGGCAGCAGUGAGGAAUAUUGGUCAAUGGGCGGGAGCCUGAACCAGCCAAGUCGCGUGAGGGAUGACGGCCCUAUGGGUUGUAAACCUCUUUUGCCGGGGAGCAAAGUGCCGCACGUGUGCGGUUUGGAGAGUACCCGGAGAAAAAGCAUCGGCUAACUCCGUGCCAGCAGCCGCGGUAAUACGGAGGAUGCGAGCGUUAUCCGGAUUUAUUGGGUUUAAAGGGUGCGUAGGCGGACGCUUAAGUCAGCGGUAAAAUUGCGGGGCUCAACCUCGUCGAGCCGUUGAAACUGGGUGCCUUGAGUGGGCGAGAAGUACGCGGAAUGCGUGGUGUAGCGGUGAAAUGCAUAGAUAUCACGCAGAACUCCGAUUGCGAAGGCAGCGUACCGGCGCCCAACUGACGCUGAAGCACGAAGGCGUGGGUAUCGAACAGGAUUAGAUACCCUGGUAGUCCACGCAGUAAACGAUGAAUGCUAGUUGUCCGGGGCGAUUGAGUUCUGGGUGACACAGCGAAAGCGUAAGCAUUCCACCUGGGGAGUACGCCGGCAACGGUGAAACUCAAAGGAAUUGACGGGGGCCCGCACAAGCGGAGGAACAUGUGGUUUAAUUCGAUGAUACGCGAGGAACCUUACCCGGGCUCAAACGCAGGAGAGAUGUUUUUGAAAGGAGGCAGCCAGCAAUGGUCUCCUGCGAGGUGCUGCAUGGUUGUCGUCAGCUCGUGCCGUGAGGUGUCGGCUUAAGUGCCAUAACGAGCGCAACCCCUACCUACAGUUGCCAUCGCGUGAUGGCGGGCACUCUGUGGGGACUGCCUGCGCAAGCAGUGAGGAAGGCGGGGAUGACGUCAAAUCAGCACGGCCCUUACGUCCGGGGCGACACACGUGUUACAAUGGCAGGUACAGCGGGAAGCCACCCGGCGACGGGGCGCGGAACCCGAAAACCUGUCUCAGUUCGGAUUGGAGUCUGCAACCCGACUCCAUGAAGCUGGAUUCGCUAGUAAUCGCGCAUCAGCCACGGCGCGGUGAAUACGUUCCCGGGCCUUGUACGCACCGCCCGUCAAGCCAUGGAAGCACGGGGGUGCCUGAAGUGCAAGACCGCAAGGAGCGCCCUAGGGUAAAACUCGGUGACUGAGAAUGGAGUCGUAACAAGGUA